UACAGAGGGGGCAAGCGUUGUUCGGAAUUACUGGGCGUAAAGGGCGCGUAGGUGGCCUUCUAAGUUGAACGUGAAAUCCCUGGGCUCAACCCAGGAACUGCGUCCAAGACUGGGAGGCUUGAAUCCGGGAGAGGGAUGCGGAAUUCCAGGUGUAGCGGUGAAAUGCGCAGAUAUCAGGAGGAACACCGGUUGCGAAGGCGGGUCUCUGGGCCGAUACUGACGCUGAGGAGCGAAAGCGUGGGGAGCGAACAGG
RNAcentral lists this ribosomal RNA (253 nucleotides) under uncultured bacterium. RNAcentral describes it as "partial 16S ribosomal RNA". It matches the Rfam family "Bacterial small subunit ribosomal RNA", at positions 524 to 776 of the family's 1533-position model. The record is from RNAcentral.